Molecule: ribosomal RNA, 432 nt
Filed under: uncultured bacterium
Lineage: Bacteria
Description: partial 16S ribosomal RNA
Rfam family: Bacterial small subunit ribosomal RNA
Source: RNAcentral
AACGAACGCUGGCGGCAUGCCUAACACAUGCAAGUCGAACGAUACCUUCGGGUCUGGUGGCGCACGUGUUCGUAACGCGUGGGAACCUGCCCUUGGGUUCGGCAUAACUCCCCGGAAGGGGUGCUAAUACCGGAGAAUAUUUUCGGACCAAAGAGUUAUCGCCUUUGGAUGGGCCCGCGUUGGAUUAGCUAGUUGGUUUGGUAAAAGACUACCACGGCGACGAUCCUUGGCUGGUCUGGGAGUAUCAUCAGCGAGACUGGGACUCGGACACGGCCCAGACUGCUACGAGAGGCGGCAGUGAGGAAUAAAGGGGAGUAGGCGAAAGCCUGAUCCGGCGCGGCCGGGAGAGUGAUGAACGGCUUGGAGUCGUAUAGCUCUUUUAAAGAAGAUAAUGAUGACGGAACCGGAGGGAUAGGCCCCGGUUACCACCGU